AUUCCAGCUCCAAUAGCGUAUAUUAAAGUUGUUGCAGUUAAAAAGCUCGUAGUUGGAUUUCUGGUUAGAUGCGCCUGGCCCGCCGACGUUCAGUCGUGUGAAGUGCUGGUGCGCAACUGCCAUCCUUCUAGAGAAGGGACCAACGGUUCAUUCCGGUUCGGUUCACAAUCUAGAUCUUUUACUUUGAAAAAAUUAGAGUGUUUAAAGCAGGCUUUUGCUAUGAAUACAUUAGCAUGGAAUAAUGAUUUAGGACUCUGUUUCUAUUUUGUUGGUUUCCGGAAACGGAGUAAUGAUUGAUAGGGAUUGUUGGGGGUGCUAGUAUUCAGCGGCCAGAGGUGAAAUUCUCGGAUUCGCUGAAGACUAACUUAUGCGAAAGCAUUCACCAAGGAAGUCUUCGUUG
This 400-nucleotide ribosomal RNA is filed under the name Filosa sp. Its description in RNAcentral is "partial small subunit ribosomal RNA". It matches the Rfam family "Eukaryotic small subunit ribosomal RNA", at positions 582 to 975 of the family's 1831-position model. The record is from RNAcentral. Lineage: Eukaryota; Cercozoa.